Molecule: non-coding RNA, 1077 nt
Organism: Pimephales promelas (fathead minnow)
Lineage: Eukaryota; Metazoa; Chordata; Actinopteri; Cypriniformes; Leuciscidae
Source: RefSeq, a predicted model, not a curated record
UAGUCCUGAGAUGAUAAAAUGUUUUUAAUAAAACAUUCCUUUAAAUUGACUUUUUAACAAACAUUUUGCAUGAUACAUUUUGAGGAUUUUUUGUCGAAAUGUUGUUAUCUUUUAUAAAUCAUUGGCACAAUAACAAAGGAGGAACAUUAUCAAAGCAACAUUCAUCAAAUGUUUUGUGGACAUUUACCUGAGAUGACAAAAUCUCAUAAUAUAUGUUAACAAAAGCUCAUAAAAUUGUAAGGAUAUUUUAAGGAAGCUGUUUAGGUAACAGAUUGUAGAAUUAUUUUAACCUAUAGAAUAAUGGCAUAAUUUUCCAUAAUGAAAGAGGAACAUUGUCAAAACAGCAUACGGUAAAGUGUUUUGAGGAUAUAUUAGGCUACUCUGAAAUGAACUGUUGCGACAAAUGCGUUUACAAGAGAUGAGAAGCUGAUUGGAGGUCGCUGUAGAUCGACGUUUAAAACCACCAAUCACAGCGCGAUGUUCCCAUGACGUAAGAACAUUUGAACUCGACAAACAGCGCAAAUAAAGCAACGUUUCUGUUGAAGAAAUCGGCGCAGAAUGUCCGUUGUCUAAAUUGGCGACACAUUGGCCCAAAACAACAGAACUCCUGGUCAACGGAACUCUUUCACAACUAAUGGCAGUGAAUGGCCGUCUAUCAAGGCGCAUCCAUCCAUGAUAAAAGUAAUCCACCACAUGACUCUGGCGGGGGACUCUAUAAAGCCCUUUUAAAGCGAAGCAUUUGUGCUAUGAGGAAAAACUCUACUGUGCACACAGAGAACAGAGCUCAAUGCUAACUGGGGGAGCAGCUGGACAACUAGAAGAGAGAAUAGUAGAACACUAUUAUUAAUACAGAUUCCUGGAUUAUUUUUCUGCAAGAACCAAAACAAGCAAAGACUGAUGAUGAGUGCUCUGAGCAAACACCGCAGUCAAGACGCAUGAGUGACUUUACUGAGUUCUUCAUGUAAUGUUGGGCAUUUACUGUACGCAGAACUUCUAAUAAUUUAUGUGGAUGCCAUUUAAACCUGUUAGAUUUUGAUGUUUUAGUUUUGAGAUUAAUAAAAUGUUAUGCUUUAACAA